UAUAAGAUGCCUGAUUAAAGGAAUAUUUUGAUAGAAUAUAUAAUGUAAAAAAAGUUACUCUUAUCA
This 66-nucleotide transfer RNA is filed under the name Mileewa sharpa. RNAcentral's name for it is "tRNA-Ile". Lineage: Eukaryota; Metazoa; Arthropoda; Insecta; Hemiptera; Cicadellidae. The record is from RNAcentral.